UCCCCGUGAAGAAACAUUCACAUGUCUUACCUUCUGUCCUAGUCCCAGAGCCUGUAAAGGUGAACCCACUGGGGCUGGCUGGGGGAUAAGAGGAGCAUUUGUUCCAGAUGGAACUGUCUGAGGGAU
This is a non-coding RNA of Dasypus novemcinctus (nine-banded armadillo), 126 nucleotides long. The record is from Rfam. Lineage: Eukaryota; Metazoa; Chordata; Mammalia; Cingulata; Dasypodidae.